RNAcentral lists this ribosomal RNA (501 nucleotides) under uncultured bacterium. RNAcentral describes it as "bacterial SSU rRNA". It matches the Rfam family "Bacterial small subunit ribosomal RNA", at positions 32 to 518 of the family's 1533-position model. The record is from RNAcentral.
AACGCUGGCGGCGUGCCUAACACAUGCAAGUCGAACGGAGAUAAGACGCUGACGAGACUCGGUCAAAUCUGUUUAUCUAGUGGCGGACGGGUGAGUAACGCGUGGGCAACCUGCCUCAUACUGGGGGAUAGCAGUUGGAAACGACUGAUAAUACCGCAUAAGCGCACGGAGUCGCAUGACUCAGUGUGAAAAACUCCGGUGGUAUGAGAUGGGCCCGCGUCAGAUUAGCCAGUUGGCAGGGUAACGGCCUACCAAAGCGACGAUCUGUAGCCGGCCUGAGAGGGCGGACGGCCACAUUGGGACUGAGACACGGCCCAAACUCCUACGGGAGGCAGCAGUGGGGGAUAUUGCACAAUGGAGGAAACUCUGAUGCAGCGACGCCGCGUGAGUGAAAGAAGUAUUUCGGUAUGUAAAGCUCUAUCAGCAGGGAAGAAAGGCUCCGCAAGGAGAGAUGACGGUACCUGACUAAGAAGCCCCGGCUAACUACGUGCCAGCAGCUGC